RNAcentral lists this ribosomal RNA (1553 nucleotides) under Salmonella enterica subsp. enterica serovar 4,[5],12:i:-. RNAcentral's name for it is "bacterial SSU rRNA". It matches the Rfam family "Bacterial small subunit ribosomal RNA". Lineage: Bacteria; Pseudomonadati; Pseudomonadota; Gammaproteobacteria; Enterobacterales; Enterobacteriaceae. The record is from RNAcentral.
AAAUUGAAGAGUUUGAUCAUGGCUCAGAUUGAACGCUGGCGGCAGGCCUAACACAUGCAAGUCGAACGGUAACAGGAAGCAGCUUGCUGCUUUGCUGACGAGUGGCGGACGGGUGAGUAAUGUCUGGGAAACUGCCUGAUGGAGGGGGAUAACUACUGGAAACGGUGGCUAAUACCGCAUAACGUCGCAAGACCAAAGAGGGGGACCUUCGGGCCUCUUGCCAUCAGAUGUGCCCAGAUGGGAUUAGCUUGUUGGUGAGGUAACGGCUCACCAAGGCGACGAUCCCUAGCUGGUCUGAGAGGAUGACCAGCCACACUGGAACUGAGACACGGUCCAGACUCCUACGGGAGGCAGCAGUGGGGAAUAUUGCACAAUGGGCGCAAGCCUGAUGCAGCCAUGCCGCGUGUAUGAAGAAGGCCUUCGGGUUGUAAAGUACUUUCAGCGGGGAGGAAGGUGUUGCGGUUAAUAACCGCAGCAAUUGACGUUACCCGCAGAAGAAGCACCGGCUAACUCCGUGCCAGCAGCCGCGGUAAUACGGAGGGUGCAAGCGUUAAUCGGAAUUACUGGGCGUAAAGCGCACGCAGGCGGUCUGUCAAGUCGGAUGUGAAAUCCCCGGGCUCAACCUGGGAACUGCAUUCGAAACUGGCAGGCUUGAGUCUUGUAGAGGGGGGUAGAAUUCCAGGUGUAGCGGUGAAAUGCGUAGAGAUCUGGAGGAAUACCGGUGGCGAAGGCGGCCCCCUGGACAAAGACUGACGCUCAGGUGCGAAAGCGUGGGGAGCAAACAGGAUUAGAUACCCUGGUAGUCCACGCCGUAAACGAUGUCUACUUGGAGGUUGUGCCCUUGAGGCGUGGCUUCCGGAGCUAACGCGUUAAGUAGACCGCCUGGGGAGUACGGCCGCAAGGUUAAAACUCAAAUGAAUUGACGGGGGCCCGCACAAGCGGUGGAGCAUGUGGUUUAAUUCGAUGCAACGCGAAGAACCUUACCUGGUCUUGACAUCCACAGAAGAAUCCAGAGAUGGAUUUGUGCCUUCGGGAACUGUGAGACAGGUGCUGCAUGGCUGUCGUCAGCUCGUGUUGUGAAAUGUUGGGUUAAGUCCCGCAACGAGCGCAACCCUUAUCCUUUGUUGCCAGCGAUUAGGUCGGGAACUCAAAGGAGACUGCCAGUGAUAAACUGGAGGAAGGUGGGGAUGACGUCAAGUCAUCAUGGCCCUUACGACCAGGGCUACACACGUGCUACAAUGGCGCAUACAAAGAGAAGCGACCUCGCGAGAGCAAGCGGACCUCAUAAAGUGCGUCGUAGUCCGGAUUGGAGUCUGCAACUCGACUCCAUGAAGUCGGAAUCGCUAGUAAUCGUGGAUCAGAAUGCCACGGUGAAUACGUUCCCGGCCUUGUACACACCGCCCGUCACACCAUGGGAGUGGGUUGCAAAAGAAGUAGGUAGCUUAACCUUCGGGAGGGCGCUUACCACUUUGUGAUUCAUGACUGGGGUGAAGUCGUAACAAGGUAACCGUAGGGGAACCUGCGGUUGGAUCACCUCCUUACCUUAAAGAAGC